CAGCGGUGUCAUUGAUGAGCUUUUGUUUUCAUCUAGUCUGGAAGAGGAUUUGAGGCCACUUUCGAAGUACUUCCUAGACUAGAUGAAAUCAAAUUUGGCAGCGGUGUCAUUGAUGAGCUUUUGUUUUUGGACUUGCCACGUGAAUUUAGAUUUCCUUCUGGAAUAAUGAUGCUAGAGUAUGGAAAAGCAGUUCAAGAGAGUGUAUACGAGCAACUUCGUGUUGUUCGUGAGGGUCAGCUUCGUAUCAUAUUCACCCAUGACUUGAAGAUUUUGUCUUGGGAAUUUUGUGCUCG
Molecule: unclassified non-coding RNA, 293 nt
Filed under: Hevea brasiliensis (rubber tree)
Lineage: Eukaryota; Viridiplantae; Streptophyta; Magnoliopsida; Malpighiales; Euphorbiaceae
Source: RNAcentral